GGGGACGUAGCCAAGCACGUUCUUAGUUAGAAGUCUGCUUCUCUGAGAGCCAAACUAUCGACCUGUUUCCUAUCAUCCUGGGCUCCCUGCUGGGCUUCCUGAUAUUGCUGGCUGUUAACAUCAUCGUUUUGUUUUACGUAAAACGUUGGUCAGCUUUCUCAAGCAGAUCGACGUGGAAUCGGGGGAUGGAUGAGAAUACAGCACCAGUCCGAGUUAAGAGAAUAACUACAUGUCUAUUCUAAGAGCUGCCAUCACUUCCUGUGAGCCUAACGAUACAGUGAACUCUCGGGAUAAGGUGAUGAACUUGUCCGUGUGGUUUGAUGCAGCGUGUUGACCCGCUCCUGGAUGGAAAGCUUAGUGAUGACAUCAGCAUUUACUGGAAACCCAUCUGUCCACUCUGAGGUCAUUUCCUUUCAGAUCUGUUUCCCUGAAAACCUGACCUUGAUUCCUUUCCAGCUGCCUCUGCUCUCUGAGGGCUUGGGUUUCUCUCUGAUUGCACUGACUCUCCCUCCUUUCCCAGUGACAACACCCCCUCUGAGCCCCUUCCCAUUGGACUAGACUGUUCUCACUUGGUUCCAGCCUUGACAACAUUUGCACAUAACAUCACUGUGUUGCAAUUACACACACCUAAACCCCUGACACACGCCCUCCGACCACGUGAGGCUCCUGUCAGGAUUUACACUCCCCCUCUGAGAGUCCUAGAGAUGUACAACAUGGAAACAGACCCUUCAGUCCAACUCGCCCAUACCAACCAGAUAUCCCUA
Non-coding RNA from Chiloscyllium plagiosum (whitespotted bambooshark), 764 nucleotides. The record is from RefSeq and is a predicted model, not a curated record. NCBI's taxonomy places the organism in Eukaryota, Metazoa, Chordata, Chondrichthyes, Orectolobiformes, Hemiscylliidae.